Molecule: non-coding RNA, 57 nt
Organism: Daucus carota subsp. sativus
Lineage: Eukaryota; Viridiplantae; Streptophyta; Magnoliopsida; Apiales; Apiaceae
Source: Rfam
UGGCCGUCUGGUAAGGCAACGGGUUUUGGUCCCGGUAUUCGGAGGUUCGAAUCCUUU